CGGAGGAAAAGAAACCAACAGGGAUUGCCCUAGUAACGGCGAGUGAAGCGGCAACAGCUCAAAUUUGAAAUCUGGCGCAAGCCCGAGUUGUAAUUUGUAGAGGAUGCUUCUAGGUAGCGACCGGUCUAAGUUCCUUGGAACAGGACGUCAUAGAGGGUGAGAAUCCCGUAUGUGACUGGCCCGCACCUUCUACGUAGCUCCUUCGACGAGUCGAGUUGUUUGGGAAUGCAGCUCUAAAUGGGAGGUAAAUUUCUUCUAAAGCUAAAUACCGGCCAGAGACCGAUAGCGCACAAGUAGAGUGAUCGAAAGAUGAAAAGCACUUUGGAAAGAGAGUUAAAAAGCACGUGAAAUUGUUGAAAGGGAAGCGCUCACAACCAGACUUCUGGGCGGUGUUCCGCCGGUCUUCUGACCGGUCUACUCACCGUCCCGAGGCCAACAUCAUCUGGGACCGCCGGAUAAGACCUCAGGAAUGUAGCUCCCCUCGGGGAGUGUUAUAGCCUGUGGUGAUGCGGCGCGUCUCGGGUGAGGUCCGCGCUUCGGCAAGGAUGUUGGCGUAAUGGUUGUCAGCGGCCCGUCUUGAAACACGGACCAAGGAGUCUAACAUCUAUGCGAGUGUUCGGGUGUCAAACCCCUACGCGUAAUGAAAGUGAACGGAGGUGGGAAGGGUAACCUGCACCAUCGACCGAUCCUGAUGUCCUCGGAUGGAUUUGAGUAAGAGCAUAGCUGUUGGGACCCGAAAGAUGGUGAACUAUGCCUGAAUAGGGUGAAGCCAGAGGAAACUCUGGUGGAGGCUCGCAGCGGUUCUGACGUGCAAAUCGAUCGUCAAAUUUGGGUAUAGGGGCGAAAGACUAAUCGAACCAU
This 861-nucleotide ribosomal RNA is filed under the name Ramularia glennii. RNAcentral's name for it is "eukaryotic LSU rRNA". It matches the Rfam family "Eukaryotic large subunit ribosomal RNA", at positions 51 to 943 of the family's 3401-position model. The record is from RNAcentral. Lineage: Eukaryota; Fungi; Ascomycota; Dothideomycetes; Mycosphaerellales; Mycosphaerellaceae.